Molecule: ribosomal RNA, 119 nt
Filed under: Pteropus alecto (black flying fox)
Lineage: Eukaryota; Metazoa; Chordata; Mammalia; Chiroptera; Pteropodidae
Source: RNAcentral
GUCUACGGUCAUGCCACCCUGAACAGGCCUGAUCCUGUCUGAUCUCGGAAGCUAAGCAGGGUCAGGCUUGGUUAGUACUUGGAUGAGAGAACACCUAGGAAGACCAGAUACUGUAGGCA